UACCAGGAUCUGUCUUUACAUAUUGUGC
This 28-nucleotide non-coding RNA is filed under the name Bombyx mori (domestic silkworm). The record is from RNAcentral. Lineage: Eukaryota; Metazoa; Arthropoda; Insecta; Lepidoptera; Bombycidae.